Molecule: ribosomal RNA, 245 nt
Filed under: uncultured bacterium
Lineage: Bacteria
Description: partial 16S ribosomal RNA
Rfam family: Bacterial small subunit ribosomal RNA
Source: RNAcentral
CGUAAAGACGCAUGCAGGUGGUUCGUUAAGUCAGAUGUGAAAGACCCGGGGCGUCAACCUCGGAAUUGCAUUUGUAAACUAGGCGGACGUAGAGUACUGUAGAGGGGGGUAGGAAGUUUCUAGGUGUAGCGGUGAAAUGCGUAGAGAUCUGAAGGAAUACCGGUGGCGAAGGCGGCCCCCUCGGACAGAUACUGACACUCAGAUGCGAAAGCGUGGGGAGCAAACAGGAUUAGAUACCCUGGUAG